RNAcentral lists this ribosomal RNA (455 nucleotides) under uncultured bacterium. RNAcentral's name for it is "bacterial SSU rRNA". It matches the Rfam family "Bacterial small subunit ribosomal RNA", at positions 340 to 786 of the family's 1533-position model. The record is from RNAcentral.
UACGGGAGGCAGCGGCGGGGAAUAUUGCACAAUGGGCGCAAGCCUGAUGCAGCCAUGCCGCGUGUAUGAAGAAGGCCUUCGGGUUGUAAAGUACUUUCAGUCGUGAGGAAGGUGUUAAGGUUAAUAACCUUAGCAAUUGACGUUAGCGACAGAAGAAGCACCGGCUAACUCCGUGCCAGCAGCCGCGGUAAUACGGAGGGUGCGAGCGUUAAUCGGAAUUACUGGGCGUAAAGGGCACGCAGGCGGUUAAUUAAGUUGGAUGUGAAAUCCCCGGGCUUAACCUGGGAAUGGCAUUCAAGACUGGUUAGCUAGAGUCUUGUAGAGGGGGUAGAAUUCCAUGUGUAGCGGUGAAAUGCGUAGAGAUGUGGAGGAAUACCGGUGGCGAAGGCGGCCCCGUGGACAAAGACUGACGCUCAUGUGCGAAAGCGUGGGGAGCGAAACAGGGAUUAGAUACC